CCCAUUUAUAGAGCAUAAGAGGAAGCGACCCAUUGUCAAAAUUGUUAGGUAAUGGGAUAUUUUCCCUUUAAAAAAAACUUAUUUGGUAAGAGGCUUGAAGUGCACUUUGGGGGAAGAGAUGGCUAAGGAGCAUGAAUGGCUGUAGUGGUGUUUUUUUAUGAGCGAUAGCUCACAAGUUGUACCCAGCAGAGAGACACACAGAGAGUGAUAAAACUGGAACCCAGCAAGCAGUGGCAGUGUUGGUAAUGCUGCUAGCCCGUAAUGACCUCCUGUGGUCUGCCACAUUCUCUGGUUCAGCACUGGUCAGGUCCUGAGCGUGCCAGACUAGAGAGGUUCAACCUGUGCAACUGAAAAACAUAUCCCUCCAGCUACACAGAGAUGAGAGACCGCUCAGGUGAAGAUGACUGGCGGGAAACCAUGGAAGAAUCUGGACCAGAACUACACAGCGUAGGAGGCAUGGAAUAUGAGACCAAUGUAAAACAGCUGCCUGUACCAUUAGUUCAAGCUAGUAGGACCUUCAUUAAACCUUGCUGAAUCUGGGGACCGGCUUGAUUCUUUUUAGAAGCAAAACCAAACUCACAUCAGCAGUUUUCCAAACAAGCGUGUUUCUGUGAUGACUGUGAAAUUAGGUUAUGCUUUUUGGAAGGCACUUUUCUACCAGAGAGAUGUGUGUGCGUGUGGGCUGCAUGCGACUGGGAUAUGUAGAGGGGUAACGAUGAAGAUUCGGCGGAAUCUGGAAGCGUUUAGAUUGUCCUACCUAUGUGUUCCUUCCAUUUUGAUUCAAUAAAAUAUUUCCCCCUUAAUUAACUAAUGCUUGUUGCUUGGGAAAGAGGGGCAAAGGAUGUUCAGAUUAAUAUGUGAUAACUAACCUACUAUACAUCUGAGAGUGCUAGUCUGUCUGUCGGUCGGUCUGUCUGUCUGUU
Pelodiscus sinensis (Chinese soft-shelled turtle) is the source of this 923-nucleotide non-coding RNA. NCBI's taxonomy places the organism in Eukaryota, Metazoa, Chordata, Testudines, Trionychidae. The record is from RefSeq and is a predicted model, not a curated record.